UGGUUUUCUUGCUUUUUUUCAUCUGCUGUUCCUAAAGCCCUUUCUGAUUUAAGCAUCAGAUAGCCCAAUCGGAGCUAAUCCGGUGAGCCUUUUCUUUCUUCUUUAGCAUGCGGAGAAGCGAAUUAAUGCACCAAGAAUCAUUGUCUCACUAGAGUGCUAACUGGCUAGGAGUCUUUCGACCACCCGAUCGGGUUUUGGCGACAAUACUUUCAUCUUUAGUCAAACAUGGGAUCAUCUUCUCCAUCAACCUAAUAUGCAUGUUAUUGGAUGCAAAUGGGGGUAUAAGCCCAAACUACGAAUAAAUGCUCUC
Molecule: long non-coding RNA, 310 nt
Filed under: Phoenix dactylifera (date palm)
Lineage: Eukaryota; Viridiplantae; Streptophyta; Magnoliopsida; Arecales; Arecaceae
Description: long non-coding RNA (PDAC_LNC015865)
Source: RNAcentral